UACAGAGGGAGCGAGCGUUGUUCGGAAUUACUGGGCGUAAAGGGCGCGUAGGCGGUCCGAUAAGUCCCGUGUGAAAUCCCUCGGCUCAACUGAGGAAUGGCACGGGAAACUGACGGGCUUGAGUUCGGGAGAGGGAAGCGGAAUUCCGGGUGUAGCGGUGAAAUGCGUAGAUAUCCGGAGGAACACCGGUGGCGAAGGCGGCUUCCUGGACCGACACUGACGCUGAGGCGCGAAGGUCAGGGGAGCAAACGGG
RNAcentral lists this ribosomal RNA (253 nucleotides) under uncultured bacterium. RNAcentral's name for it is "partial 16S ribosomal RNA". It matches the Rfam family "Bacterial small subunit ribosomal RNA", at positions 524 to 776 of the family's 1533-position model. The record is from RNAcentral.